GGUAUACAGACUGUCUCUCCUUCUCAGUGGAAUCUGAAUGACUCUCCCCUCCACAACUACAUAGCCAGGUCUGUCUUAGUGAAAUAGGGCCAGGUCUGUCUUAGUGAAAUAGGGCCAGGUAUGUCUUAGUGAAAUAGGGCCAGGUAUGUCUUAGUGAAAUAGGGCCAGGUAUGUCUUAGUGAAAUAGGGCCAGGUAUGUCUUAGUGAAAUAGGGCCAGGGAUGUCUUAGUGAAAUAGGGCCAGGGAUGUCUUAGUGAAAUAGGGCCAGGUAUGUACAUCUGUUGCAUAUAAACAUUCACUGUUGGGUCUCCUCAAAUACCAAAAGGAGACUGGACAUAAGUCUGAGAUUAGGUUCACUUCCAUAAUGUAAUAGAUCAUUAAUAUAUGAUUAUGUCUCAAUUCAAUUCAAGGGGCUUUAUUGGCAUGGGAAACAUGUGUUAACAUUGCCAAAGCAAGUGAGGUAGAUAAUAUACAAAAGUGAAAUAAACAAUAAAAAU
This is a long non-coding RNA of Oncorhynchus tshawytscha (Chinook salmon), 497 nucleotides long. NCBI's taxonomy places the organism in Eukaryota, Metazoa, Chordata, Actinopteri, Salmoniformes, Salmonidae. The record is from Ensembl.